GCGGCGCGGGACCUGUGGGUGGGUGGGGAAGCGGGAGGGGGGAGGAGGCGAGGAGGUGGGCGUGUGGAGGUGUGGAGUCCGGAUGGGGUGUGGAGGUGUGGAGGUGUGGGAUCGGGAUGGGUGUGUGGCAGGGGCAUGAGGCGGCAGGGUGGCAGGGGCGGAAGUUGCCAGCGGCGCGGGACCUGAUUGGAGGAUUGGGGCGCAGGGUUGGUGCGGGUCGGGUAGGCACUAGGCUGGUGUUGGUGUUGGCCUGCGCACUUGCGCUUGGCUUGCGCCCUUAUUUGCCUUCUGUGCCGUCCGAUUAAACCCUAACACGGUCCUGGACGGAGCCGAUUUGCCCUCCCCCUUCGGUUGCCCUGCUCGUAUACACACGGAAGCGAGGGAUGCAUCCGUGUAGAAACCCCCAACACUCAUUAGGGGAGUUUCACACGUGACAACCUGGUAUCGGGUUUACCUGAAGCCUCCCAGGAACGUCCUCAGGUAGCCCAUGCUCGCGUUCAUCUCGUUCUGCCCCUCGCCGUCGCCUACAGGCAGUACACGGCAGGCAGCAGGCAGGGCAAGGCGGGCACCAUCACAUUUACAGCGGUGGCGCGGAGGGCCGGUACGGAGUUGUGGGGCCUGCGUCCGUCCACCCGCCACGCCACGCCACGCCCUGCCGCGCCCCGCACACGACACGCACCCGGCACGCCCCGACACACGCCAAGCCAAGCACCUGUGCCACCCGAUGCACCCAACGCGCGACACGCACCCGACAUUCCC
Molecule: long non-coding RNA, 759 nt
Filed under: Chlamydomonas reinhardtii
Lineage: Eukaryota; Viridiplantae; Chlorophyta; Chlorophyceae; Chlamydomonadales; Chlamydomonadaceae
Description: long non-coding RNA (CREI_LNC000374)
Source: RNAcentral